AGAGGAGACAGGUUGGAAGGAGAAAAGCUGAAACCAAAAAAUAUUAAUGGUGUAGAUGCUAAAACGCGCCGUGUUCCUUCUUCACCACCGCCUCCCGUCUUCAGCCUCCUCAGCUCUCCAGACCCUGAUUCACUCGAUUAAUCGAUUCCGAAAAUGAGGGAUCUGCGCCGGAUUAUCGAGCUGGUUGGACUGACGGUGUUUCUUCUCAUCGGGAGGCUAACGUGCGCCGACGCCGUUAGGGCUCCGUCGCGGCCCCUAUGUGCGUUGGAAACCCUCAAAGAGUCGGUAUUUGCCUCCCGGAGCGACGUUUGUUACAUUAAUCGGGACCGAUUUCCUCAUGCCGGCGGCGUGAUUGAGGGGGAUGAGGUUGCAUUGCAGAAGGCGCUGCAUAUGGUCCACAAACACGAAAAUGACUAUGUGUCUGUCCUCUUUUACUCGGCUUGGUGUCCUUUCUCCGGAACAUUUAGACCAAAGCUUUCCAUUUUGUCUUCCAUAUAUCCUUCAAUCCCUCACUUUGCAAUUGAAGAAUCGUCGGUCCGGCCAAGUAUCCUGUCAAAAUACGGAGUUUAUGGGUUUCCUACCUUGAUACUUCUAAACUCUACCAUGCGCAUGCGAUAUCAGGGCUCUCGCACUAUGGACUCUCUAAUUUCUUUCUAUGGUGAUGUUACGGGCUUGAAGGCGUCGUCAGCUGAUCCAAUGUAUUUGGAAAAGAUUGGAUGCCCAGGAUCUGAGGAAAUGCACAACACUCACCAGGAAACGUGCCCUUUCCCAUGGGCCCGAUCACCCGAGAAUUUGCUGCAGCAGGAAACGUAUUUAGCCUUAGCAACGAUGUUUGUCAUCAUGAGGUUGCUUUACUACACUUUCCCAACUCUACGCAGCUACGGUCAACUGGCUUGGAGGAGGUACAUCAUAAACGCGAGCUUCAGUGGCUUGUGGGAGCAUUCCGUUGUCCACAUCAGUCGACUCCUGCAGCUGUUCAAGUCUCUGAACGAGCCAGGCAAGAAAAGCAAUCUGCAGGAAGGAGCAAAGAACGCCAAGGCUUGGGCGUCCAAGUCUCUAGCAACUGUCUCGUUUGGGGAUGCUAGCUCAAGUCAUAGUAAUAAUGCUCAGUAAUCACAGCUAACUUCUAUCUAUGUACAUUUCUUGGUAGCAGCUGUUCAAGUAGACAAAGAUAUCUCAUAGCAUCAUCAGAGUUCGGGCUACACAAGGUCUUAACUCUUACUGGACCAACGCCCCAAUCAAGCCUUGUCAUCAGGAACAACGACGUGGUCAAGUGCAUUCACAGCCGUCUCCUUGCACAAGCCACAAUCCAGGUUCGGUGCUCGCUAUUUAGCUUCCAUUAUUUAUGCAUCUUCGAGUUUCGAAUUCCAUCUUUCGACGUUCCAGUUUUUGUCUGGAUGAAUAUUUCCUAUUCUCCCUUUUCACGUACAAGGGAGAAAUGGUGGCCGUGGCAGAGGUGGACGAUGGCGAGUGGUUGUGGAGGUAGCAGUGAACAUGGUGUGAGAGUGGAGAAGAUGGAAGGAUUAGGUCUUUUUAUUGAUUUCUUACUUUCUAGCAUAAACUCUAUACAAUAAGAUACCAUGAUCUUGCCAAA
Salvia hispanica is the source of this 1594-nucleotide RNA transcript. It is a transcript of the gene named 5'-adenylylsulfate reductase-like 4, with no coding region annotated. NCBI's taxonomy places the organism in Eukaryota, Viridiplantae, Streptophyta, Magnoliopsida, Lamiales, Lamiaceae. The record is from RefSeq and is a predicted model, not a curated record.